UUUUUUAUCUAAGACUACAUGUCAAAAUUACCAAAUGUUUGACAUCCAAUAGCCGAUUAUUAAUAAAUCAAUGUGCUCUAGUGAUGUCGUUAAACAAAACAAACUUUUAAAAUAUGUAGAUAGGGAGCCUUAUGGGUGUGAGCGUCCGGUGUACCAGAUACAUACGCAUUCACGCAGGCACGCACGCACGUACGCACGCAAACACACACUACCUGAACCAAUCCUGUUGUAGUAUCUGUCCUUACGAUUUGUCAGUGGUCCAGGAACCUAUUCACACUGGCCAGUUAUUCAACAAUACACCCAUGCCUCAAAAGUUAAUGCGUUAUAUUAAAAAAAUGUCAUGGACAAAAUCGCCCAGAUGAUCUAACAUUAAAAAUAUAAAUCAUAUCCAAUUACUAGAAAUAGAAUAAAUGUGCACUAUAGAACGUAUGACAAUUAAGAACUGUAGACUGUAAUUAAUGAAAUCUGACCCGGAAGUGAAUAGUGAAUUGUAUAAUAAGACCAGAACAAAAUAAUAAUACAUGUAUUGAUAGAAUAUAUCACCACCAUUGUGAUGAUCAUGAUGGUGAUGAUGAAGAUGACGAUGAUGAAGAUGAAGAUGAUAAUGAUGAUGAUGAUUAUGAUAGUUUAGGCUUAUUGCUAAAGCUCGCUCCAAAGAUAGAUUUUUCUUGAGACCCGUGUCAGAAAAACAUCAAUAAAAGAAUUCGUCCUAGAAACUAUCAUUCUAUUGUCUAUGACGUCAUUCGGUUUCCAAAGUAAAACUUAUGAUAUAUACUACCACUUAAGGAACUUAAUUUACAUAUUACCACUUAGUCUGUGAAGAUUGUUCAACAAAUUUAAUGAAGUUUAAAGAUGCUUAAAAGAUGGAUCAUGAGUUUUGUUCUAAGGAGGUCUUAGCCCGUACAUAAGUCUAUUCAGUUUGACAGAACGUGGGCUGCAGAAAAAUUGCAGCUCCGACUCCUCAUGCUGGAUGAGAAGUACCGCAGUGAGGUUAUGUACCAGCAGGUGGACGCAUUCGAGGACAAGGUUCUUCUCAGCAGCA
RNAcentral lists this unclassified non-coding RNA (1042 nucleotides) under Gigantopelta aegis. RNAcentral's name for it is "uncharacterized LOC121382370, transcript variant X1". The record is from RNAcentral. Lineage: Eukaryota; Metazoa; Mollusca; Gastropoda; Neomphalida; Peltospiridae.